AACGAACGCUGGCGGCAGGCCUAACACAUGCAAGUCGAGCGCGCCCUUCGGGGUGAGCGGCGGACGGGUGAGUAACGCGUGGGAACGUGCCCUUCUCUGCGGAAUAGCCUCGGGAAACUGAGAGUAAUACCGCAUACGCCCUUUGGGGGAAAGAUUUAUCGGAGAAGGAUCGGCCCGCGUUGGAUUAGGUAGUUGGUGGGGUAAUGGCCCACCAAGCCGACGAUCCAUAGCUGGUUUGAGAGGAUGAUCAGCCACACUGGGACUGAGACACGGCCCAGACUCAUCGGGGAGGAAGCGGGGGGGAUUUUUAGAAAAGGGGGGCACCCUGAACAACGCCAGGCGGGGGGAGUAAAGAGGGCUUUGGGGUUGAAAACCCCUUCCAGUGGGGAAAAAAAGGAGGGACCAGGAAAAAGAGGCCCGGCCAACCCCGGUC
This 433-nucleotide ribosomal RNA is filed under the name uncultured bacterium. RNAcentral describes it as "partial 16S ribosomal RNA". It matches the Rfam family "Bacterial small subunit ribosomal RNA", at positions 29 to 508 of the family's 1533-position model. The record is from RNAcentral.